Molecule: ribosomal RNA, 465 nt
Filed under: Vreelandella stevensii
Lineage: Bacteria; Pseudomonadati; Pseudomonadota; Gammaproteobacteria; Oceanospirillales; Halomonadaceae
Description: partial 16S ribosomal RNA
Rfam family: Bacterial small subunit ribosomal RNA
Source: RNAcentral
CCUACGGGAGGCAGCAGUGGGGAAUAUUGGACAAUGGGGGGAACCCUGAUCCAGCCAUGCCGCGUGUGUGAAGAAGGCCCUCGGGUUGUAAAGCACUUUCAGUGAGGAAGAACGCCUGGUGGUUAAUACCCAUCAGGAAAGACAUCACUCACAGAAGAAGCACCGGCUAACUCCGUGCCAGCAGCCGCGGUAAUACGGAGGGUGCGAGCGUUAAUCGGAAUUACUGGGCGUAAAGCGCGCGUAGGUGGCUUGAUAAGCCGGUUGUGAAAGCCCCGGGCUCAACCUGGGAACGGCAUCCGGAACUGGCAAGCUAGAGUGCAGGAGAGGAAGGUAGAAUUCCCGGUGUAGCGGUGAAAUGCGUAGAGAUCGGGAGGAAUACCAGUGGCGAAGGCGGCCUUCUGGACUGACACUGACGCUGAGGUGCGAAAGCGUGGGUAGCAAACAGGAUUAGAUACCCUAGUAGUC